Molecule: ribosomal RNA, 465 nt
Filed under: uncultured bacterium
Lineage: Bacteria
Description: partial 16S ribosomal RNA
Rfam family: Bacterial small subunit ribosomal RNA
Source: RNAcentral
GACGAACGCUGGCGGCGUGCUUAACACAUGCAAGUCGAACGGAAAGGCCCCUUUGGGGGUACUCGAGUGGCGAACGGGUGAGUAACACGUGAGUAACCUGCCCUUGACUUCGGGAUAACUUCAUGAAACUGGGGCUAAUACCUGAUAGGAAUCCUUGCUGCAUGGUGGGGGUUGGAAAGCUUCGGCGGUUUUGGAUGGACUCGCGGCUUAUCAGCUUGUUGGUGGGGUAGUGGCUUACCAAGGCUUUGACGGGUAGCCGGCCUGAGAGGGCGACCGGCCACAUUGGGACUGAGAUACGGCCCAGACUCCUACGGGAGGCAGCAGUGGGGAAUAUUGCACAAUGGGCGGAAGCCUGAUGCAGCAACGCCGCGUGCGGGAUGACGGCCUUCGGGUUGUAAACCGCUUUCAGCAGGGGCGAAGCUUGUGGUGACGGUACCUGCAGAAGAAGCACCGGCUAACUACGUG